Molecule: long non-coding RNA, 3054 nt
Organism: Oxyura jamaicensis (ruddy duck)
Lineage: Eukaryota; Metazoa; Chordata; Aves; Anseriformes; Anatidae
Exons: 3
Source: RefSeq, a predicted model, not a curated record
GCUGACUCACUGGCAAAUCUUCCUCACUUCACGACACUGCGCCACGAGUGGCUUGACUGCAAGGCUGCAGCCACAGAGUCAAAAAAUGACACCCAUAAAUACCGAUUUGGGAGUGUGUGAGGAGCACUGCCCUUUGUCACAGCAGUUUUAGUUUUACACUUUAGGAAGCGUAGUGCUGUAUUUAAGGCCCUCCCCUUGGAGCUGCCCCUCAGAAGUGGCUUAUCGCAUCCUGGGAUCACGUCACUGUCCGGAAGAGCUGGAGAUCAUCCCGUGAAGCCUGACAAAGACAUACGCCUGCUAGGGGAUUAACUGCUUGCGGUUAGUCAGUCUACUGCGGGCAUGCUGGAUGUAAAUUUCUGCCAUACUUUACUGAGAGAGCCAAAAUGGUGAUAUCACAGUCUAGUCGCCUCCAUACCUGUGGAUAAAGCCCCGAGUAAGCUUGCGGCCCUCAUUGCUCACCCUGCUUUGAGCAGCAGUUGGAUCUGGGGACCUCCCAAGCUGUCUUCCACCCCGAGUCUUCUUUCUGACCCCAUUCAGGAAGAAAAAACACUGUGUGCAUUAGAUGUUUUAACUAUGGGUGGCUUGGUUUGUUCGAAAUAUCUGAAGUAAACUACUGCUAAGGAACCAAAUGAGGAGAAAAGAAGAAUCUCCCUGAACUGCUGUUAGUGGUCAGAAAAAUCACAGGCUCAAUCUUUAGCCUGAAGGCAUGGCCAGGAGGCCUUAGAAAGCUGCCCAGUAUAGUAUACAUUUCAGACGUAUUACAGCAAUUUCCAAGCGUUCCCAUUGCUGCAUUAAGAUUUGGAAAGAUGUAGCUCUCGGGUCCACACCCUCGUCAUUUAAAUAAACAUGCCUGCCACUUUGGGUGGUUGGCAAUCGAACAAACAGUUGCUUUUUGAACAGCGUGAAUGGAUUUCCUAUGGUGGCAUUUCUGCAGGGCUAAGUUUAUUUAGUUGUUGGCUUAUUUGGUGACCUGAAACAUGAAACCUUUGCUUAAAUCCUUAAUCACCCAGAUUGGACUCCCGGCCCUCCCUCCUUUCCUGGAGGCAGUAUGUGGUGAGUUAGUCCUCAGGGAGAGGCAACCGGUAUUUACCUUUGUCUAAACUAAACAACUUUUAUGCAAGUUUUAUAAACGGUUUGAGUGUAGUUUUUGAAAAAUCAUUUUUUAAUCACUUCUGUCUAUAGGAACCGUUUUAGCCACUACAGAAACUGGUUCUAUAAGAGACAACUUGUGUAACGUGAGGUUAUGGGACUAUCAAAUGGAUGCCAUCUAAAACAGACUGCCCUUCUAAGAGGUUUUACCUACACACUUAUUGUCUACCCACCUCUACUCCAAAUAACUAUUGCUUCUUGAUGCCAUGGUGGAGUUGGUUAGAAAGUGAGGGCUAUUUUUUUUCUCCUCAAAAAGAAGUUGCCAUUUGAUUAAAAGAAAAAAAAAGACAAACUUAAACACAGUCAUAGUUUUAGCUUUUGACCAAUUUCCAGUGAGAAAGUUUGUUUUUCAUUUUUAGACAAAAAAAAAAGCGGUGUGCAAGAGAUCACGUGAUCAUGUCCUAGAAAACUUUUCAUUUUAACAACUAUUUCUAAUUCUGUCCUCUUUUUUUUUUUUUUUUUUUUCCUUUUUUUCUGCUGUUGACCUUUUCUGGAAAUGCUGAGAUGGAGGAAACCAGGACUGAAAUAGUAUAGUCUCCACCAGCGUUAGGUGCUUUUCUUUCCCUCUUGUCAAUUCUAUUUAACUUCUUUAGGAGCAGACCUCAGCUCUAUCCUUUCUGGGAUAUGUUCAUGUUUUCUGUGUAUAGUUUUGGCCUCUUGGCUUAAGAGAAACCUUGUGGAUUUUUGUUAUACCUCUUGGAGAUCACGUAGCCCAAUCUGUGUAUGGUGGAAUACAGAAUUUCAAUGAGUUACACCUCUGCUCAGCCUAAUUACUUGGUUUAAACUUUCAGAAAGGCGUUCAGGUUUGAUGGGAAGAUAUAAAAAGAAGCAACAGCCACCACUUCCUUGGUGGUGUGCUGAGGGAGCAAAUCCACCUCUGUUGAUAGCACGAGCCUCAUUUCUAACUCACAUUUGAUUGACUUUAACUUCUGAACAGUACUUCUUUUUACACUUUUCUCCCAUAGAUUAGUACCUGAUAUAUUUUAUUCCCAUUAAAGUGUCAUGAAGGCCCCUCUCAGUCUUCUUUCUGAUGAGUUAAAAUAUGCAUCUCUUUAGUCGGGUGGUUUAGGGCAUUGCCUCCACACCUUGAAUUACUUUUGUGUUAAAUGUGGGGAAUGAGGUUUGUCUACACUAUGAGUUGCUUUGAGGUCAGUCUGCUUUUAAAGAGAAGCUGCCUCCGCCUACAAGAAUAUGCAGUGGUCUAUAAAACAAGCUGCUCUACUAUCAUCCCUUCUUUUUUCUGGGUGCAUGAAUAUAAUAAAUAGCUAAUACAGAAAGACACGUUCAUUAAAAAUGUCAGUUUUUCUGUACUUAAUUAAAAGUCACGUUAUAAUGUAUGAAUCGAUGUAUUCCUGAAAGCAGUGAUAUACUACUCUGUGACAUUGUGGAAACACUGGUUUUAGAAAUUCCUUUUUUAAGAGCUCUAAUUUAAAUUUACAGUUUAAUUGUAGGCUAUAGUUUAGGAUAAUUGAAUCCUCAGGGAGUUAUUUCCUUCUUUAAAGUGAAUCAGUGUUAAUGUACACUAAAUUGCUUAAUAAAAAAAUGAAUUUUUCUUGGCCAUUUCAGCAGUAUUUACCACAAAGAGAGUGGGGGUGACACAGGCCUUUUAAAAACACUCAAAAAGCAGGGGUGGCUAAACACUCAAAAGGGGUGGCUAAGACAAAAUGAUUAAUGCAGCUUGGUAAAUGUGAUUUCAUUGCAUACAGUUGUAAAAAAUACUGCCCUAGGAAAACAGAGUUUUGUGGACAACCUGGCAUCAUUUGUAGAAGUUUGUAAUUUCUUUCACUUUCAUUGAAACAGCAUGUUUGUGCAGGUUUUUGCGUGUCCCUACUGUAGGGUUGAACAGACAUAGAAAAAUGAAGGUGUAACUACUACCUUGCAAUAAAAAGGCGUUGUGUGAACCUG